Molecule: ribosomal RNA, 468 nt
Filed under: uncultured bacterium
Lineage: Bacteria
Description: partial 16S ribosomal RNA
Rfam family: Bacterial small subunit ribosomal RNA
Source: RNAcentral
GACGAACGCUGGCGGCGUGCUUAACACAUGCAAGUCGAACGGAAAGGCCCUGCUUUUGUUGGGUGCUCGAGUGGCGAACGGGUGAGUAACACGUGAGUAACCUGCCCUUGACUUUGGGAUAACUUCAGGAAACUGGGUCUAAUACCGGAUAGGAGCUCCUGCUGCAUGGUGGGGGUUGGAAAGUUUCGGCGGUUGGGGAUGGACUCGAGGCUUAUCAGCUUGUUGGUGGGGUAGUGGCUUACCAAGGCUUUGACGGGUAGCCGGCCUGAGAGGGUGACCGGCCACAUUGGGACUGAGAUACGGCCCAGACUCCUACGGGAGGCAGCAGUGGGGAAUAUUGCACAAUGGGCGGAAGCCUGAUGCAGCAACGCCGCGUGCGGGAUGACGGCCUUCUGGUUGUAAACCGCUUUCGCCUGUGACGAAGCGUGAGUGACGGUAAUGGGUAAAGAAGCACCGGCUAACUACGUG